UACUUUUGUAUUUGACCACGUAAGACAAUUGGAUGGGCACCUAAUAUAUUUCCUGGUACACUCCUAUUGUGGUUGGUCUUCUUUAUCUGUAUGUCUAUCUUGUUCAGUCUGCGCUUCAGCUUUGCAGGAAAAUAGAAAUUUUUUUUUCUGUGCUUGUUUAUGCUAACCAUGGUGCCUACAACUGCAUCUGCUGCCUUUACACGGGACUGCAAACCUGUUUUUUUCAACCUUCUGUUUUAUGGGUGUGCACACCCAUAAAUCUCCUGUGGCUGGGUUAAGGGAACAUACAAGCAGCUCUUCAGCAUUAAGAAUGUGAUGGGAGAGAUUCAGGUAGAUUUGAACUGCCAUCAUCAAUCAAGACCAAGGAGAAGGCUGCUUUCCAGGAUGUACACAUGGCCUCUGUUUGCUGUUGCUGUUUUGCUUCUUUUAAGAGGUGAACCAAUAUAUGUAUGUCUGUUUCUACUGUCACUUGCAGCUCAACAGAACCCUGUAAUAUACAUGAACAAGUUUCUGGAAGUUAAGAGGGUUGAAGUUCGGGAUAGAAAUGUAAAUGUGUUCGGACAUACUGAGAAAUAAAUCACAUUGAAGAGAUGGAGAAAGGAGUUGCUGGAGAGGCAAAAUGAAAAGGCAGAUGCUAAGGAACUGCACAAAAAGAAAAAAUGUAUCCUAAUUGGGGCAGUGUGAACUUGUCAGACAGGGAAGAAGCAUGAAGUCAUAAAUUGCUUAGAGAAUUAUAGCAGUACCUUGACAUAGUAGGAAAAAGAAAGCUUAUGUGUACUCAAGAUCUGAAUUCAAGUCCUGGCUCUAUCUCUUACUGGAUGUGAGAUGCUGGACAAGGUACUUCUCUAUUUCAAUUCUCUCAUUCAAAUCUAUGAAUUCAAAAAUUUGAAUUAACCACCAAAGCCCCCUUUGGCUGUCAAUUUUAAUCUGCAGUGACAUCCUGGUGGGUUGAAAUUUAAGACAGUCAUUAAUGGAUAAUAAACAAAGACCAUUUGUGUAGGAGUUUACCCCAUGUGUAUGGGUCUUAUUCUUAGUAAAUUGGGAAAUUAUAGAAUGUGAAUGGGGCAAUCUUGAAUUGUGAGGAGGAGCUCAUUUUAUCAGGCAAGAUCCCGAUUUUCAAAUCAGUACCUGAAUGUUGCUUAUUUGAUUAAACUCUGGUAUACAGAAAGCAUUAGCUUCAGCAUUAUGCCUCUACUACAUAGGAGAAGAACUAAAUUAGAAGGAAAUAGAUGUUUGACUGACUUAGAGAAAUAUUGAAAGAGUGGAUUGAUGAUGCUUUCCAGGACCAUUUAAUUUGACUGAUAUAAUAAAAAUAUUGGCAGUAAUGAGAGUCUUCUGAAUUAAAACCAGCCACGUUUUCUCAUUAAUAUAUUACUAUUGGUGAAAUUUUGUUUUAGAUGGUCUUCCAAAGCAGGAAAUAUUUCCAAUAUAAUUAAUUAUCACAGGCCGGGCGUGGUGAUUCAUGCCUGUAAUCCUGGCACUUUGGGAGGCUGAGG
Molecule: long non-coding RNA, 1496 nt
Filed under: Homo sapiens (human)
Lineage: Eukaryota; Metazoa; Chordata; Mammalia; Primates; Hominidae
Description: HSALNT0321926
Source: RNAcentral